This 431-nucleotide small RNA is filed under the name Arabidopsis thaliana (thale cress). RNAcentral's name for it is "ATSL288200". Lineage: Eukaryota; Viridiplantae; Streptophyta; Magnoliopsida; Brassicales; Brassicaceae. The record is from RNAcentral.
AUAAUUUGUUGUAACGUGUUAACCUAAUUUCCUUUUUCCUUUCUAAUUUCCUUUUUUUCUUCAAUAUUUCCAUUUUUUUUAGGGUUAAUUUGUAAACUAGUCACUUUUUUAAACUUAAUUAGAAAAGUAGUCACUUUACUAUUCAUAAUUUGCAAAAUAGUCACUUUUCACUGUUUGAUUCGUACACUUAGAUUGUACACCACUUUUAGUGUACAAAUAUAUAUAAAAAUACACAGCGUACACUUUAUAUUUGUACACUAAAAGUGAUAGUACAAUCCAAGUGUACGAAUCAAACAGUGAAAAGUGACUAUUUUGCAAAUUAUGAAUAGUAAAGUGACUACUUUCCUAAUUAAGUUUGAAAAAGUGACUAUUUUGCCAACAUACCCUUUUUUUUAACACCAAAUCAAUAUUUCCAUUUUUCUUUAACGUUC